RNAcentral lists this ribosomal RNA (641 nucleotides) under uncultured bacterium. RNAcentral's name for it is "bacterial SSU rRNA". It matches the Rfam family "Bacterial small subunit ribosomal RNA", at positions 76 to 730 of the family's 1533-position model. The record is from RNAcentral.
GAGCUUGCUCCUGUGAUUAGUGGCGAACGGGUGAGUAACACGUGAGUAACCUGCCCCUGACUCUGGGAUAAGCGUUGGAAACGACGUCUAAUACUGGAUACGACUGCCGGCCGCAUGGUCUGGUGGUGGAAAGAUUUUUUGGUUGGGGAUGGACUCGCGGCCUAUCAGCUUGUUGGUGAGGUAAUGGCUCACCAAGGCGACGACGGGUAGCCGGCCUGAGAGGGUGACCGGCCACACUGGGACUGAGACACGGCCCAGACUCCUACGGGAGGCAGCAGUGGGGAAUAUUGCACAAUGGGCGAAAGCCUGAUGCAGCAACGCCGCGUGAGGGAUGACGGCCUUCGGGUUGUAAACCUCUUUUAGUAGGGAAGAAGCGAAAGUGACGGUACCUGCAGAAAAAGCACCGGCUAACUACGUGCCAGCAGCCGCGGUAAUACGUAGGGUGCAAGCGUUGUCCGGAAUUAUUGGGCGUAAAGAGCUCGUAGGCGGUUUGUCGCGUCUGCUGUGAAAUCCCGAGGCUCAACCUCGGGCUUGCAGUGGGUACGGGCAGACUAGAGUGCGGUAGGGGAGAUUGGAAUUCCUGGUGUAGCGGUGGAAUGCGCAGAUAUCAGGAGGAACACCGAUGGCGAAGGCAGAUCUCU